This is a non-coding RNA of Trichobilharzia regenti, 49 nucleotides long. Lineage: Eukaryota; Metazoa; Platyhelminthes; Trematoda; Strigeidida; Schistosomatidae. The record is from Rfam.
AUCCAGAUGACGAGUCCAAAAUAGGGCGAAAUGUGCAUCCUGACUGGAU